RNAcentral lists this ribosomal RNA (433 nucleotides) under uncultured bacterium. Its description in RNAcentral is "partial 16S ribosomal RNA". It matches the Rfam family "Bacterial small subunit ribosomal RNA", at positions 29 to 507 of the family's 1533-position model. The record is from RNAcentral.
AACGAACGCUGGCGGCAUGCCUAACACAUGCAAGUCGAACGAGACCUUCGGGUCUAGUGGCGCACGGGUGCGUAACGCGUGGGAACCUGCCCUUAGGUUCGGAAUAACUCCCCGAAAGGGGUGCUAAUACCGGAUAAUGUCUUCGGACCAAAGAUUUAUCGCCUUUGGAUGGGCCCGCGUUGGAUUAGCUAGUUGGUAGGGUAAAAGCAUACCAAGGCGACGAUCCAUAGCUGGUCUGAGAGGAUGAUCAGCCACACUGGGACUGAGACACGGCCCAGACUCCUACGGGAGGCAGCAGUGGGGAAUAUUGGACAAUGGGCGAAAGCCUGAUCCAGCAAUGCCGCGUGAGUGAUGAAGGCCUUAGGGUUGUAAAGCUCUUUUACCCGGGAUGGUAAUGACAGUACCGGGAGAAUAAGCUCCGGCUAACUCCGUG